Molecule: transfer RNA, 74 nt
Filed under: Nitrososphaerota archaeon
Lineage: Archaea; Thermoproteati; Nitrososphaerota
Also listed under: 1 other name
Description: Thaumarchaeota archaeon tRNA-Thr
Rfam family: tRNA
About the family: Transfer RNA (tRNA) molecules are approximately 80 nucleotides in length. Their secondary structure includes four short double-helical elements and three loops (D, anti-codon, and T loops). Further hydrogen bonds mediate the characteristic L-shaped molecular structure. tRNAs have two regions of fundamental functional importance: the anti-codon, which is responsible for specific mRNA codon recognition, and the 3' end, to which the tRNAs corresponding amino acid is attached (by aminoacyl-tRNA synthetases). tRNAs cope with the degeneracy of the genetic code in two manners: having more than one tRNA (with a specific anti-codon) for a particular amino acid; and 'wobble' base-pairing, i.e. permitting non-standard base-pairing at the 3rd anti-codon position.
Source: RNAcentral
GCCGGCGUAGCUCAGCCUGGUAGAGCGUUCGCCUCGUAAGCGAAAGGUCGAGGGAUCGACGCCCUCCGCCGGCU